UAAAGUCUAAUCUGCCCACUGAUAUAAUAUUAAAGGGCUGCAGUAUUUUGACUGUACAAAGGUAGCAUAAUCAUUAGUCUUUUAAUUGAAGACUUGUAUGAAUGAUUGGAUGAAAUAUAAACUGUCUCUAAUAUUAUUAGUUAGAAUUUAAUUUUUUUAUUAAAAAGUAAAAAUAAAUUUAAAAGACGAGAAGACCCUAUAGAGUUUUAUAAUUAAUUUAAUUGAAAUUAUUUAUAAAGAUAAUUUUAAAUUAAUAAAUUAAAAUUAAGUUAAUUAUUUUGUUGGGGUGAUAAAAAAAUAAAAAUAACUUUUUUUAAUAAAUAUAUAUAUAUAUAUAUAUAUAUAUUGUAAACAAAAAUAAAUGAUUUUUUGAUCCAGAAUUUUUGAUUAUAAGAAAAAAUUACCUUAGGGAUAACAGCGUAAUUUUUUUUUUUAGUUCAAAUAAGAAAAAGAGUUUGCGACCUCGAUGUUGGAUUAAGGAAAAAUUUAAAUGCAAAAGUUUAAAAUUUUG
This 511-nucleotide ribosomal RNA is filed under the name Cryptoses choloepi. RNAcentral describes it as "partial 16S ribosomal RNA". Lineage: Eukaryota; Metazoa; Arthropoda; Insecta; Lepidoptera; Pyralidae. The record is from RNAcentral.